Long non-coding RNA from Etheostoma spectabile (orangethroat darter), 133 nucleotides. RefSeq lists it as uncharacterized. The transcript is spliced from 3 exons. The record is from RefSeq and is a predicted model, not a curated record. Lineage: Eukaryota; Metazoa; Chordata; Actinopteri; Perciformes; Percidae.
ACCAUGGUUGUAUUAAGAGGUUGCGAAGCAAGUUUGGUUGCUUGAGCAAAGGCACUCACUCUCCGAUAACCUAGCAACGUAGGGAGUGACACACUAACAGCCAAUCAUAUAAUAGUAUCUAUUUGGUUGCGCC